This 120-nucleotide ribosomal RNA is filed under the name uncultured bacterium. Its description in RNAcentral is "partial 16S ribosomal RNA". It matches the Rfam family "Bacterial small subunit ribosomal RNA", at positions 215 to 334 of the family's 1533-position model. The record is from RNAcentral.
UCGCCCAGGGAGGGGGUCGCGACGUAUCAGCUUGUUGGUGGGGUAAUGGCCUACCAAGGCUACGACGCGUAGCGGGUCUGAGAGGACGACCCGUCACAUUGGGACUGAGAUACGGCCCAG